CUGUACAGAAUAUUGUGACCAUUUGGAAUGCAGGUGUUCAUGUUUGCUAUUUUCCCCCAAAUAUUCUUUUAGAUAACCUCUUACCUCUGAAAGAAUGAAAGAGACAGAAGCAUUAUAUGUGCAUUACAGAAAAUGGUUAAGGAAUUACUUAACAGUAACAGCAUGACUGUGUUUUGAUUUAUUUUUUCUAAAAUAUUGAAACAGAAAAAUAAGAGAAAGGAGGACGUUGCUUUUGUAUUAAUAGUUCCUCAAGAUCUUAAAAAGGAACAUCUGAUCUUGGGAAACAAGAGGUAAGUAGA
This 299-nucleotide long non-coding RNA is filed under the name Parus major (Great Tit). RNAcentral's name for it is "lncRNA (ENSPMJG00000010753.1)". Lineage: Eukaryota; Metazoa; Chordata; Aves; Passeriformes; Paridae. The record is from RNAcentral.